UGGGGAAUUUUGGACAAUGGGCGAAAGCCUGAUCCAGCAAUGCCGCGUGUGUGAAGAAGGCCUUCGGGUUGUAAAGCACUUUUGUCCGGAAAGAAAUCCUUGGCUCUAAUACAGUCGGGGGAUGACGGUACCGGAAGAAUAAGCACCGGCUAACUACGUGCCAGCAGCCGCGGUAAUACGUAGGGUGCAAGCGUUAAUCGGAAUUACUGGGCGUAAAGCGUGCGCAGGCGGUUUGCUAAGACCGAUGUGAAAUCCCCGGGCUCAACCUGGGAACUGCAUUGGUGACUGGCAGGCUAGAGUAUGGCAGAGGGGGGUAGAAUUCCACGUGUAGCAGUGAAAUGCGUAGAGAUGUGGAGGAAUACCGAUGGCGAAGGCAGCCCCCCUGGGCCAAUACUGACGCUCAUGCACGAAAGCGUGGGGAGCAAACAGGAUUAGAUACCCUGGUAGUCCACGCCCUAAACGAUGUCAACUAGUUGUUGGGGAUUCAUUCCUUAGUAACGUGGCUAACGCGUGAAGUUGACCGCCUGGGGAGUACGGUCGCAAGAUUAAAACUCAAAGGAAUUGACGGGGUCAUAGCUGUUUCC
Molecule: ribosomal RNA, 584 nt
Filed under: uncultured bacterium
Lineage: Bacteria
Description: partial 16S ribosomal RNA
Rfam family: Bacterial small subunit ribosomal RNA
Source: RNAcentral